Molecule: non-coding RNA, 132 nt
Filed under: Leptobrachium leishanense (Leishan spiny toad)
Lineage: Eukaryota; Metazoa; Chordata; Amphibia; Anura; Megophryidae
Source: RNAcentral
UUGUUGUGUGAAAAGAGUGAAGGUUAGUACUCCCCUUGACAAGGAUGGAAGAGGUCCCAGUGGCCUUUACGUUUACAACAAAAAUACAGUUAAGGCACUGCCACCUACUUCGUGGCAUCUCUAGCCAUGUUU